CGGUUUCGUGGCUGACAGUUCUGGGGUGGUUGAAGGUAGGCUGAGGUUCGUUGGUCUGGGGUUCUUCUACCACCGGUGACACGUUGGCGGGGGUGUUAAGGCCCCGUUGCUGCAUUAUCUGCCCCAGCCAGUGGGCGGUGCUCUGUAGUUGGAGGGCCAUGGUUUGGAGGUCUUGGUUGGACAAGGUGGCGGCGGAAGCAUUCCCCACCAGGCUUAGCGAGGGGUUGAAAGGGAUUGGUGGUUG
Molecule: long non-coding RNA, 244 nt
Filed under: Manihot esculenta (cassava)
Lineage: Eukaryota; Viridiplantae; Streptophyta; Magnoliopsida; Malpighiales; Euphorbiaceae
Description: long non-coding RNA (MESC_LNC002882)
Source: RNAcentral